Molecule: ribosomal RNA, 1484 nt
Filed under: Streptococcus thermophilus
Lineage: Bacteria; Bacillati; Bacillota; Bacilli; Lactobacillales; Streptococcaceae
Description: bacterial SSU rRNA
Rfam family: Bacterial small subunit ribosomal RNA
Source: RNAcentral
CUGCUCAGGACGAACGCUGGCGGCGUGCCUAAUACAUGCAAGUAGAACGCUGAAGAGAGGAGCUUGCUCUUCUUGGAUGAGUUGCGAACGGGUGAGUAACGCGUAGGUAACCUGCCUUGUAGCGGGGGAUAACUAUUGGAAACGAUAGCUAAUACCGCAUAACAAUGGAUGACACAUGUCAUUUAUUUGAAAGGGGCAAUUGUUCCACUACAAGAUGGACCUGCGUUGUAUUAGCUAGUAGGUGAGGUAAUGGCUCACCUAGGCGACGAUACAUAGCCGACCUGAGAGGGUGAUCGGCCACACUGGGACUGAGACACGGCCCAGACUCCUACGGGAGGCAGCAGUAGGGAAUCUUCGGCAAUGGGGGCAACCCUGACCGAGCAACGCCGCGUGAGUGAAGAAGGUUUUCGGAUCGUAAAGCUCUGUUGUAAGUCAAGAACGGGUGUGAGAGUGGAAAGUUCACACUGUGACGGUAGCUUACCAGAAAGGGACGGCUAACUACGUGCCAGCAGCCGCGGUAAUACGUAGGUCCCGAGCGUUGUCCGGAUUUAUUGGGCGUAAAGCGAGCGCAGGCGGUUUGAUAAGUCUGAAGUUAAAGGCUGUGGCUCAACCAUAGUUCGCUUUGGAAACUGUCAAACUUGAGUGCAGAAGGGGAGAGUGGAAUUCCAUGUGUAGCGGUGAAAUGCGUAGAUAUAUGGAGGAACACCGGUGGCGAAAGCGGCUCUCUGGUCUGUAACUGACGCUGAGGCUCGAAAGCGUGGGGAGCGAACAGGAUUAGAUACCCUGGUAGUCCACGCCGUAAACGAUGAGUGCUAGGUGUUGGAUCCUUUCCGGGAUUCAGUGCCGCAGCUAACGCAUUAAGCACUCCGCCUGGGGAGUACGACCGCAAGGUUGAAACUCAAAGGAAUUGACGGGGGCCCGCACAAGCGGUGGAGCAUGUGGUUUAAUUCGAAGCAACGCGAAGAACCUUACCAGGUCUUGACAUCCCGAUGCUAUUUCUAGAGAUAGAAAGUUACUUCGGUACAUCGGUGACAGGUGGUGCAUGGUUGUCGUCAGCUCGUGUCGUGAGAUGUUGGGUUAAGUCCCGCAACGAGCGCAACCCCUAUUGUUAGUUGCCAUCAUUCAGUUGGGCACUCUAGCGAGACUGCCGGUAAUAAACCGGAGGAAGGUGGGGAUGACGUCAAAUCAUCAUGCCCCUUAUGACCUGGGCUACACACGUGCUACAAUGGUUGGUACAACGAGUUGCGAGUCGGUGACGGCGAGCUAAUCUCUUAAAGCCAAUCUCAGUUCGGAUUGUAGGCUGCAACUCGCCUACAUGAAGUCGGAAUCGCUAGUAAUCGCGGAUCAGCACGCCGCGGUGAAUACGUUCCCGGGCCUUGUACACACCGCCCGUCACACCACGAGAGUUUGUAACACCCGAAGUCGGUGAGGUAACCUUUUGGAGCCAGCCGCCUAAGGUGGGACAGAUGAUUGGGGUGAAGUCG